CAAAACAACGUUAUCAACAACAACAUCAACCACACGUACAACAUCAGCAACUCGCUACAACAACAACAACAACAAAGAAUAUAACAACAUCAGCAGCGAAUCCGGCGAAACCCGCGAACCCAGCCGACCCGUUUAAUAACCCAGUAGUAAUAACGUCCCUUUCAACAAAAGUAAAGCAAUGAACAAGUCAACAACUCCGGCUCAUCCCAACGAAUUAAUUCAGAUUUUCCUCAAAAUCGUUCGAUCAGAGUCAACGCGGGCAGUCAAGAUUAAUUCAUAUUUGAAUUUCAAAUUUUUCAUCCUCAAUUUCUUAUUUGUUUCACCCUAAAACAACCCCAUAAUUCACUAUAAAUACGGUACUAUGUAGAGAGAAAGAAGGAGGAUUUUGGGGAAAAAAUUUGAGGAUUUGGGAGUAGCAUGCUUUUAAUCCCACACAACCAAAAAUCCUAGAAGAAACAGACUCAAAAACUUGAUUCUAACGAAAAAAAAUUGAACUCCGAAGGAUCGAAAUUCAAACUUCGGUGGUGAAAAUCCGUCGCCAAGGUUCGUUGUCGAGUUCACUGCCCGAAAAAAGUCCAUUGGACUCCAUUUUUCGCAUUUCCGAAUGCUCCAAAGAGGCCUACAUCAUCUUAGAUUCAAAAGCCGCAACAAAUGUCCGAAAUGGACUAAUGCAUGAAGAAAAUGGAUUAAUAUAGCUGUUGGUAUACACUGAUAUACGCAUAUAUACGGGUCGUACCGGUCAAGAGCGGCUGGUGUAUGCUUAUGCGUGGUGCAUAACAAAGAUGGAAGCAAGUAUAUGGAUUUAUACACUGAUAUACUGCAUAUAUACAGUAAAACGUAGCAAGGCAAAGCUGUGAUAUACAAUUGGUAUACAUGGAUAAAAAUGGACUGAAGUCCAUGAAUUAAAGCCCAAAAGCUGGACAACUUUAUUGAUGGGCUAAUUUAGGGCCCAAUUUUAAUUCUUAUAUUAUUUUUUGGGUAACUUACAUAAAUUCCUGAAUCUAUAAGUGAUAUUAUAUAAAAUCUCGACUAUUUUGUUAAU
Capsicum annuum is the source of this 1042-nucleotide long non-coding RNA. RefSeq lists it as uncharacterized. The record is from RefSeq and is a predicted model, not a curated record. Lineage: Eukaryota; Viridiplantae; Streptophyta; Magnoliopsida; Solanales; Solanaceae. The transcript has 2 exons.